CUGCGAAUAUUCUCGCUGUUCUGAUUUUGUAAUAAUCAGGGCAGGCUAAACUUUUGCUAUAUUAAGACCAUGCAUGUGUCCCCAGACCUAGUUCUUUCCCUAGGUCUGGUUGUAUAAAUACUGAUGAUAAAC
Small nucleolar RNA from Catagonus wagneri (Chacoan peccary), 132 nucleotides. Its record names the gene SNORA72. It matches the Rfam family "Small nucleolar RNA SNORA72". From Rfam's summary of the family: U72 is a member of the H/ACA class of snoRNAs. The snoRNA gene is located in intron 4 of the ribosomal L30 protein gene in human, mouse and chicken. NCBI's taxonomy places the organism in Eukaryota, Metazoa, Chordata, Mammalia, Artiodactyla, Tayassuidae. The record is from Ensembl.